AUUGAACGCUGGCGGCAUGCCUAACACAUGCAAGUCGAACGAGGCCUUCGGGUCUAGUGGCGCACGGGUGCGUAACGCGUGGGAACCUGCCUUUAGGUUCGGAAUAACAGUGAGAAAUUACUGCUAAUACCGGAUGAUGUCUUCGGACCAAAGAUUUAUCGGCAAAGGAUGAGCCCGCGUAGGAUUAGCUUGUUGGUGAGGUAAAGGCUCACCAAGGCGACGAUCCUUAGCUGGUCUGAGAGGAUGAUCAGCCACACUGGGACUGAGACACGGCCCAGACUCCUACGGGAGGCAGCAGUGGGGAAUAUUGGACAAUGGGCGAAAGCCUGAUCCAGCAAUGCCGCGUGAGUGAUGAAGGCCUUAGGGUUGUAAAGCUCUUUUACCAGGGAUGAUAAUGACAGUACCUGGAGAAUAAGCUCCGGCUAACUCCGUG
Molecule: ribosomal RNA, 433 nt
Filed under: uncultured bacterium
Lineage: Bacteria
Description: bacterial SSU rRNA
Rfam family: Bacterial small subunit ribosomal RNA
Source: RNAcentral